This is an RNA transcript of Cercocebus atys (sooty mangabey), 2426 nucleotides long. RefSeq lists it as uncharacterized. NCBI's taxonomy places the organism in Eukaryota, Metazoa, Chordata, Mammalia, Primates, Cercopithecidae. The record is from RefSeq and is a predicted model, not a curated record. The transcript is spliced from 6 exons.
UGGGCACGUAAUCACGCAUGUACGCACACCACGCAGGAGGCACGUACUCAGCCAUGCAUAUAGACAGCCAAGUCAUUAUGAAUCUCGCAUUCUCGAAGACACGCACUGACGACAUCACGCACGUACGCACGCCCUGGCUGCUAGGAGACGCUAUUCCCUUUACCAGGCCCUCAUGCGCGCCAGCCAGCCAGGCCAAGGCCAGGGGAGCUCGAGACUGGCAACCUGGGCGAAGAACCGGAAGGAGGAAAAGGAAACGGAGGGAGAAAGAUGAGAUGCACCUACUUCUCCCUGGAGAAGCUCGAGGAAGCAGGAAUACUGAAGAUGAGACCCAGCACACCCUGCCUGCGCAGCUCUGUGCUGCACCUUCACUCUAGUCACGGGUGUGGCAGUCAGCUCACCAAUUCCUCCUGCUUCCCUGGGACUCGCUGGCUUUUAGCACCGCAAGUCCCUCAGCAAACUGGGACUGUUGAUCACCCUACCCGGCAGCCAGUGAUAAGGUGAGGGCCACUCCUGGGAGGGAGGACACCUGUGGGGAAAAUUCUUGUGUUAUUUAUUUCUCCUUCGGGAUAGGGUGCCUGCAGUGCUUCAUGGGAGGGGGUGGGCUGAUGCUGCAAGCUCAGAAGUUUCAAGGGCAUCUAGGGAGACCAGAUAUUCAGAGACCUUCUCCUAGAUGUGCGUGUUCCAUGUAUCAGGGAUGCAGGUUUUCCCAGCAGGACUCGUGUCAUUGGCAUGCCAGACCUGCCUUGGCUGAGCGUUCAACUGUCUUUGGAGUUCAGCCACCUUAGCAAGUCCUGGGUUUGUUCUUCAGACUUUGCUGCUUGCCCAUUGCUUGGAUUGGGGGCUACUUUGUAAACCACCAGGAAGACUCCAGUGUUUCUGCUUAAUUUUUAGAUGUUUGUUAAUUGCCCUUGGCCUCUCAUUAAUCCCGGUGGGUCCUUCAGGAAACAUACCGUUCCCUGAGUUUUCAUUUCCAGGCAUCUGCCCUGCCUGGAUCUCCUCGCCUUCCAGGAGCUUCCUCUUCACAAGCCGGCCAUCCCAGCAAAAGUUCUAACAUCGAAGGUCUAGCAACUAGCCUGCCAUCUUGUGCCUAGAGCCACCUGCGUGCCACCUACCCCCGAAGAUGGGAACCUCGUUGCCAGUUGGGGAGAUGCAGGGCAAUCCUGUACCAAGACCCCAUCUUACCACCUGUUUUCUCGGACCACUCUGGAACCCACUGUCUCAGAUUGGGUCCUCCAGGAAGCAGACUGUGAGAGGGAGUUGGCAGGACCAAAGGUUUACUGGGGCUAACUAACCCUCAGGAAAGGGACAGGAAGGAAGCAGGGCUGGAGAGCAGGUUGAGCCCGACCUGACAGUCUUGAGCAGCCUAGCAGGGAGGUGUGGAGCAAGGGUUGCCCACUAGAGGGGCCUGCAUUGGGCAUGGGUGGUGGGGUCCACAUGGUACCUGGCACACAGCAGGCUGUGCAAUCCAUAUUAACUGCCUGGAUGAAUUAAUGCCCAGGAAAGGUGCCCUGGAGAACGGGUAUGUGCUGAGCACAAUAGAGAAGGGCCCAGCAUCUGCCUUGGCAUAGGCAGAACUGUCCUGUGCCCUGCAACAGGCCACCCGAGAGCUGCUUUCAUCUUGUGUGUGCAUUAGACAACUGCCAGGGGCAUGAAGGGGAUGUGCUUCCAGGGCAUUUGCUGGCAGGGUGUCUCGUGAUCUCUUGGUAUUGGUGUGAGCACAGCCUGGCAGGAGAGGGCAGAUCUCAGUGCAAAGUAUCAUGUCAAAAAGCAGAUCGAAGCCAGGCCCCCUCCUGGAAGAGGCUCCUUGAAGAUAAUUCUAACAUCUUUGUCAUCAGUGUUGACAUCUCUUGAUUGUAUCCUGUCAUUCCAUUUGAGAUCAUCCUGGUUCUGGCUGGCAUCCUCUGACAUCACUCCAGCAGAAGAAAGGGAAGGAUCAUGCCGCAUUACUGCCUGGUGGAUUUGAGAAGACGUUGAAAUGCCUCCCCUGCUAAGACACGCUCCUCCUUGACAGAGUGGGAACCCUGAAAGCUGUAGUGGCACCACUGCCCUGUCCUGUACCUACCUAUCUUUUGACUCAUUUCCUCCAGGCUCAGGUUUUCAGUUUUGGGUGUGUGCCACCUAAAACUGAGCUGUGGAACUGCAGCACAAUCAUCAAAUUCAAAAAAGGCAAGGACAUCUUGCUCAGAUUUUAAGAUACACCAUAGAUGGAGUAAACUAAAACCUUUGAUUCCAGAUCCUUAACCCCGAUUAAAAACAACACAACCCUUCAUGCCUAUUUAAAACGUCCCCUGCAAAAGAUGGUUUGAAUAUUCCAAGUUGGAAAUACCCAGUCUUUUUAAGUUACAGCACCCUUUUUGAUACAAAAAAUGGGCAUGACAGAAAUUGUAUAGUGAGUAGUGUUAUAAAAAUAACCAAACACACCAAAA